GAUGAACGCUGGCGGCGUGCCUAAUACAUGCAAGUCGAGCGAACAGACGAGGAGCUUGCUCCUCUGACGUUAGCGGCGGACGGGUGAGUAACACGUGGAUAACCUACCUAUAAGACUGGGAUAACUUCGGGAAACCGGAGCUAAUACCGGAUAAUAUAUUGAACCGCAUGGUUCAAUAGUGAAAGACGGUUUUGCUGUCACUUAUAGAUGGAUCCGCGCCGCAUUAGCUAGUUGGUAAGGUAACGGCUUACCAAGGCAACGAUGCGUAGCCGACCUGAGAGAGUGAUCGGCCACACUGGAACUGAGACACGGUCCAGACUCCUACGGGAGGCAGCAGUAGGGAAUCUUCCGCAAUGGGCGAAAGCCUGACGGAGCAACGCCGCGUGAGUGAUGAAGGUCUUCAGAUCGUAAAACUCUGUUAUUAGGGAAGAACAAAUGUGUAAGUAACUAUGCACGUCUUGACGGUACCUAAUCAGAAAGCCACGGCUAACUACGUG
Molecule: ribosomal RNA, 497 nt
Filed under: uncultured bacterium
Lineage: Bacteria
Description: partial 16S ribosomal RNA
Rfam family: Bacterial small subunit ribosomal RNA
Source: RNAcentral